RNAcentral lists this unclassified non-coding RNA (343 nucleotides) under soil metagenome. RNAcentral's name for it is "partial contains 5.8S ribosomal RNA, internal transcribed spacer 2, and large subunit ribosomal RNA". The stretch from base 1 to 120 matches the Rfam family "5.8S ribosomal RNA", at positions 35 to 154 of the family's 154-position model. The record is from RNAcentral.
GAUGAAGAACGUAGUGAAAUGCGAUAAGUAAUGUGAAUUGCAGAAUUCAGUGAAUCAUCGAAUCUUUGAACGCACAUUGCGCCCGCCAGUAUUCUGGCGGGCAUGCCUGUCUGAGCGUCAUUUCAACCCUCAAGCCCCCGGGCUUGGUGUUGGGGAUCGGCGAGCCUCCGCGCCCGCCGUCCCCUAAAUCUAGUGGCGGUCUCGCUGUAGCUUCCUCUGCGUAGUAGCACACCUCGCACUGGGAAACAGCGCGGCCACGCCGUUAAACCCCCAACUUCUGAACGUUUGACCUCGGAUCAGGUAGGAAUACCCGCUGAACUUAAGCAUAUCAAUAAGCGGAGGA